Molecule: small nucleolar RNA, 77 nt
Organism: Mugil cephalus (flathead mullet)
Lineage: Eukaryota; Metazoa; Chordata; Actinopteri; Mugiliformes; Mugilidae
Product: small nucleolar RNA SNORD83
Exons: 1
Source: RefSeq, a predicted model, not a curated record
GCCACAUGAUGAAUAGCGUAGAUGCAGCAGCCCUCGGGCCGUGGUGACCUGUCAUCUAUCACCCUUGACUGAUGGCU